RNAcentral lists this microRNA precursor (88 nucleotides) under Macleaya cordata. Its description in RNAcentral is "mir-160 microRNA precursor family". It matches the Rfam family "mir-160 microRNA precursor family". From Rfam's summary of the family: The hairpin precursors (represented here) are predicted based on base pairing and cross-species conservation -- their extents are not known. The record is from Rfam by way of RNAcentral. Lineage: Eukaryota; Viridiplantae; Streptophyta; Magnoliopsida; Ranunculales; Papaveraceae.
GUAUGCCUGGCUCCCUGUAUGCUGUUUGCAGAGUCCAUCCUGAGUGUUUGAUGGUCUUCGUGGAUGGCGUGCGAGGAGCCAAGCAUAU